Long non-coding RNA from Temnothorax curvispinosus, 648 nucleotides. RefSeq lists it as uncharacterized. Lineage: Eukaryota; Metazoa; Arthropoda; Insecta; Hymenoptera; Formicidae. The transcript has 3 exons. The record is from RefSeq and is a predicted model, not a curated record.
UGGCGUGCUCGAACGUGUUCGGACGUUUUGCCCGAACGGGAAAUUUUUUUAAGUACUGCGACUGAUACUGUCUGCAUUAAUAGUAAUUGCCAUUGAGACCUCGCUGCGCAACAGUAUACCAGACUUAGCAAUAAAACAGUGGAAAUUGCUGGCCGUAUAAUUGUCCUCGUACACUCGCCGACAGAAAGGUUGUCCCAAAGUAACGUGUUACAUCGAGGUUAGAAACCAAGAGUUUGAAUAAAAAAUAAAGAUGGUAAAAGUGUGUGAGGUAUUUGGGUGUACAACAACCGAAAAAGAAAGACUAUCUAUGCAUAAAUUUCCUAAGAAUGUGGGACAUCGAAAUGCGUGGGUAGCUUGGAUUAACCGUCCCGGGUGGAGUCUGAAAUGUAAUAGCAGAGUUUGUGAGUUGCACUUUGUUCCUGAGGACUAUGUGGAGCACACAAGAGGAAAUGAAAUUCUUCGAAGGCUGAAAACAUCUGCUAUUCCCUCAUUGCAAAUAGAGGAAAUUCAAGACAGUGAAAAUCAUUGUAAUCCAAAAAUUAUACGAAGAUUUCGACAAACCGCACAAUGUUUGAAGGAUAUAACAAAUAUCCCUAUUAUAGGUAAAGAAAAAUAUAUAUCGUGCAAUUUUAUUUUCUCUUAUAAGUU